UACGUAGGGUGCAAGCGUUGUCCGGAAUUAUUGGGCGUAAAGAGCUCGUAGGCGGUCUGUCACGUCGGCUGUGAAAUCCCGAGGCUCAACCUCGGGUCUGCAGUCGAUACGGGCAAACUAGAGUAUUGCAGGGGAGACUGGAAUUCCUGGUGUAGCGGUGAAAUGCGCAGAUAUCAGGAGGAACACCGGUGGCGAAGGCGGGUCUCUGGGCCGAUACUGACGCUGAGGAGCGAAAGCGUGGGGAGCAAACAGG
RNAcentral lists this ribosomal RNA (253 nucleotides) under uncultured bacterium. RNAcentral's name for it is "partial 16S ribosomal RNA". It matches the Rfam family "Bacterial small subunit ribosomal RNA", at positions 524 to 776 of the family's 1533-position model. The record is from RNAcentral.